AGACCUUGAAAUAGUUAAGUACACAAGAAAUUAAUCGUGAUAACUCUAUUUUCAAAAUCAAAAUAUAUUGAUGUACAAAUUUUUUUUAUAUUGUCGUUCUGUAUAAUUAUUUCUUUUACUACAAUGAAAUUAUUGGACCCAAAUACAGACUCACAUACAUUGAAGUUAUUAGACCCACAGUCAGACCCAUAUAAUAUCGUGAGGAUACACAUUCACCCGUAAUUUAAUAUAUAUAUAUAUAUAUAUAUAUAUAUAUAUAAAAGUUGCAAUCACAAUUAAUUUUGCACUAAAUAAACCUCAUAAAUUCUCUUUCAUCUAACUUAUUAUAUAAAUCUUAUCCUAACUUAGGCUAUUUUCCUCCUACACCAAUUCUUUCUUCUCUCAAUUUUCACUUAUCUUGUUUUUGAUCUACACAAUUAGGCAAUUUUCAACUCUUCUCAUCAAAGAAUUAUUGGGAUAAAUUUCAAAAUAAUAAUAAUAAAAAAAAUGAACCAUACUAAGGAGAAAACACAUGCAAAAGUUGACUUGAAGCUAAACUUACCACUACCAAGGGCAAGAAAUGAACUUUCACCACCAAGAAGAUCAUCAUCAUCAUCUUCUUCUUCUUCUUCUUCAAUGGAGAUCAUAAGAUCACCAACCUCCUCUUGUGUUUCUCAAGAGCCAAGCCCUAUCGAUGAUCGAUCAUUUUCCGAUUGCCCUAGUAGCUCAGAGACAACCUCAAUGAUGCUUGUGGGAUGCCCUAGAUGUUUGAUGUAUGUUAUGUUAUCAGUAAAUAAACCAAAAUGCCCUAAAUGCAAGAGCACUGUUUUGCUUGAUUUAUUCCAUGAAGAAAGAAUCAACAACUCAAAGUAAUCAAGGAUCAAGCAUGUUGUAAUAAUACGGGAAAAUGCACGAGUACCCCCUCAACCUAAGCCCGAAAUCUCAGAGACACGCUUAUACUAUAAAUAAUUUUCUACCCUUUCUCGGCGUACGUGGCACUAUCUUGUGGGCCCUGCGCGUGUUGACAUUUUUUUUCAAGUUAGUAUCAUGUAGGCCGAAAAGGGGUAUAAAAUUAGUUAUAAAAUAAGUUCAGGGAAUAAUAGGACCUUAAUAUUGGAGGUGCUUAUGUAUUUUCCUUAUAUUUUAUCAAUAUUAGAUUAUAGUAGCUUUUAUUGAGUUUUGAUUAUCUUGAUAUUAUUGGAUUAAUGUGUGAUCAUGAAAAUUUGGAAAUUUUGUAUUACAACUAGUGCUAUAGUAACAAGUCAUAUUAAUUUGCAACCCAAUGAAACCUACUAUACUAUAUAGUUUGGUUAAUCAAAUUAAUAUUUUGUUGUUA
Long non-coding RNA from Solanum lycopersicum (tomato), 1315 nucleotides. RefSeq lists it as uncharacterized. Lineage: Eukaryota; Viridiplantae; Streptophyta; Magnoliopsida; Solanales; Solanaceae. The record is from RefSeq and is a predicted model, not a curated record.